AUGAACGCUGGCGGCGUGCCUAAUACAUGCAAGUCGAGCGAACGGACGAGAAGCUUGCUUUUCUGAUGUUAGCGGCGGACGGGUGCGUAACACGUGGAUAACCUACCUAUAAGACUGGGAUAACUUCGGGAAACCGGAGCUAAUACCGGAUAAUAUUUUGAACCGCAUGGUUCAAAAGUGAAAGACGGUCUUGCUGUCACUUAUAGAUGGAUCCGCGCUGCAUUAGCUAGUUGGUAAGGUAACGGCUUACCAAGGCAACGAUGCAUAGCCGACCUGAGAGGGUGAUCGGCCACACUGGAACUGAGACACGGUCCAGACUCCUACGGGAGGCAGCAGUAGGGAAUCUUCCGCAAUGGGCGAAAGCCUGACGGAGCAACGCCGCGUGAGUGAUGAAGGUCUUCGGAUCGUAAAACUCUGUUAUUAGGGAAGAACAUAUGUGUAAGUAACUGUGCACAUCUUGACGGUACCUAAUCAGAAAGCCACGGCUAACUACGUG
RNAcentral lists this ribosomal RNA (496 nucleotides) under uncultured bacterium. RNAcentral describes it as "partial 16S ribosomal RNA". It matches the Rfam family "Bacterial small subunit ribosomal RNA", at positions 29 to 507 of the family's 1533-position model. The record is from RNAcentral.